This 514-nucleotide unclassified non-coding RNA is filed under the name Hevea brasiliensis (rubber tree). The record is from RNAcentral. Lineage: Eukaryota; Viridiplantae; Streptophyta; Magnoliopsida; Malpighiales; Euphorbiaceae.
UGGGUCCAAGUCAGCCUUUCAGUGCUUCUAGUUUUUGGCUAUCUAGAAGUUCUCAUUCUUGUGAGACAACUAAAAUUUUCCACAAAUAUUGAGUUAAUCUACUUUAUUACAUUUCUUUUAUCGGGAUACUGUGAUAUUUUAUUUUUAUUUUGGAAACAGACAUGCCUAGGGUGAUAUUUCUCUUCCUAUCUUUUUGUGUCCCCUUCCUGAUCUGCAAACCUACUUUUCUCUUUCUUUCUCUAAUACAGUAACUUGGAAACUGUUCAGAGCAACCAGCUAGCUUAAUAGUUUCUUCUUCACAUCUUGUUUUAUUCACCCCCAGCUCAUAUCCCACUGUUUCACUGUUAGAAAACAUUAAAGUCAACAUAGUUCUCCAAUUUUCCUGUUGAUUAGUUAGUCCAAUUAAGUCAACCCAAAAGCUUCGCAAAUUGCUGCUGCCAGAAAUUUCUAGAUAGCCUAAUUCUCAUAUUUCACCAUUAAAGCAGCCAAUUCUAUCCUCAAACCUUGUGUUUUG